Molecule: ribosomal RNA, 468 nt
Filed under: uncultured bacterium
Lineage: Bacteria
Description: partial 16S ribosomal RNA
Rfam family: Bacterial small subunit ribosomal RNA
Source: RNAcentral
GACGAACGCUGGCGGCGUGCUUAACACAUGCAAGUCGAACGGAAAGGCCCUGCUUUUGUGGGGUGCUCGAGUGGCGAACGGGUGAGCAACAAGUGAGUAACCUGCCCUUGACUUUGGGAUAACUUCAGGAAACUGGGGCUAAUACCGGAUAGGAGCUCCUGCUGCAUGGUGGGGGUUGGAAAGUUUCGGCGGUUGGGGAUGGACUCGCGGCUUAUCGGCUUGUUGGUGGGGGAGUGGCUUACCAAGGCUUUGACGGGUAGCCGGCCUGAGAGGGUGACCGGCCACAUUGGGACUGCGAUACGGCCCAGACUCCUACGGGAGGCAGCAGUGGGGAAUAUUGCACAAUGGGCGGAAGCCUGAUGCAGCAACGCCGCGUGCGGGAUGACGGCCUUCGGGUUGUAAACCGCUUUCGCCUGUGACGAAGCGUGAGUGACGGUAAUGGGUAAAGAAGCACCGGCUAACUACGUG